Molecule: non-coding RNA, 27 nt
Filed under: Bombyx mori (domestic silkworm)
Lineage: Eukaryota; Metazoa; Arthropoda; Insecta; Lepidoptera; Bombycidae
Source: RNAcentral
UUACGUUAUAAAUGCCUGCAUCUGGAA